Molecule: ribosomal RNA, 500 nt
Filed under: uncultured bacterium
Lineage: Bacteria
Description: partial 16S ribosomal RNA
Rfam family: Bacterial small subunit ribosomal RNA
Source: RNAcentral
AUUGAACGCUGGCGGCAGGCUUAACACAUGCAAGUCGAGCGGGGGAAGGUAGCUUGCUACCGGACCUAGCGGCGGACGGGUGAGUAAUGCUUAGGAAUCUGCCUGGUAGUGGGGGACAACGUUUCGAAAGGAACGCUAAUACCGCAUACGUCCUACGGGAGAAAGCAGGGGACCUUUGGGCCUUGCGCUAGAAGAUGAGCCUAGGUCGGAUUAGCUAGUUGGUGGUGUAAUGGCUCACCAAGGCGACGAUCCGUAACUGGUCUGAGAGGAUGAUCAGUCACACUGGAACUGAGACACGGUCCAGACUCCUACGGGAGGCAGCAGUGGGGAAUAUUGGACAAUGGGCGAAAGCCUGAUCCAGCCAUGCCGCGUGUGUGAAGAAGGUCUUCGGAUUGUAAAGCACUUUAAGUUGGGAGGAAGGGCAGUAAGUUAAUACCUUGCUGUUUUGACGUUACCGACAGAAUAAGCACCGGCUAACUCUGUGCCAGCAGCCGCGGUAA